Molecule: ribosomal RNA, 389 nt
Filed under: uncultured bacterium
Lineage: Bacteria
Description: bacterial SSU rRNA
Rfam family: Bacterial small subunit ribosomal RNA
Source: RNAcentral
GACGAACGCUGGCGGCGUGCUUAACACAUGCAAGUCGAGCGGUAAGGCCCUUUCGGGGGUACGACGAGCGGCGAACGGGUGAGUAACACGUGGGUGACCUGCCCUUAGCUCUGGGAUAAGCCUGGGAAACUGGGUCUAAUACCGGAUAUGACUCCAUGACGCAUGUUGUGGGGUGGAAAGCCUUGUGCGGCUAGGGAUGGGCCCGCGGCCUAUCAGCUUGUUGGUGGGGUGANGGCCUACCAAGGCGACGACGGGUAGCCGGCCUGAGAGGGCGACCGGCCACACUGGGACUGAGACACGGCCCAGACUCCUACGGGAGGCAGCAGUGGGGAAUCUUGCGCAAUGGGCGAAAGCCUGACGCAGCGACGCCGCGUGAGGGAUGACGGCCU